UUGGACCGAAGUUGCCCAUCCCUGCUGUAAAUUUAUCAAAUGUAUAAAAAUGUGAAAAAACAAGGUUCUAGUGAGGCAUCUACAAUUGAAGCAAAUGGACCAUUUCUGGAGGAUUUAUAAACAAAGACACUCGUACAAGUUCGGAACAACAAGAUGGUCUGGAAAACGGCGGAGAAGAUCCUCCUGACAACUCUUCCUCAGCUCAGAGUCCUCUACAAAAGUCUCC
Sinocyclocheilus grahami is the source of this 226-nucleotide long non-coding RNA. RefSeq lists it as uncharacterized. The record is from RefSeq and is a predicted model, not a curated record. The transcript is spliced from 3 exons. Lineage: Eukaryota; Metazoa; Chordata; Actinopteri; Cypriniformes; Cyprinidae.